UAAAGGUGGUGCCUGAGGAGGAGGCUAAGCAAAUACAAGAAUUGAAGACCAUUGAAGUGAGAGGGCACUCCUUUUACUUACUCAGAAGAUCCAAUGAAGGACCAAUGACUAACUUUCAUCUUUGCAUUAUCAAACCUUAGUACACCAUUCUCCUUGCAUUCUCCAGAUAUAAUGUUUAUUUCAACGUUACUUGUCUUAAACCUUUGCACUUUUCCACUAAUAAUAAAUUGCAAUGACUUGCACGGAGUAUUUUGAGUUGAACCACAGUCCACAGUAUUGUUACCAUUACUACAGUCAACAUAGAUAGUUGACAAAUUGCCAAGGUGACCAUGUGUCUCAUCAUGUAAGCACACCACCACAGAAAUUGCCAACAUACCCCAACAUAUUAACCAAUAGAAACAGAACUUAGCAAUUAGCCCUAAUAGUAACAUACCAUAACACUGGUAAGUCCGGUAUAGUUAUCUAUAUAUACAACAAUACAACACAUGUGUGACUUUACCCACGUGGUGAAAACGUGAUCAAAGUCUCGUCUUCAGGGAAUACCGGAGGCUCGAAAAACCAGCGGAUUCACCGUGACUUGCAAAAAAUAUACAUAUCAAAUAAACAAAUAAACAAGAAGUAAAGGUAUGCAAUAUUUAUAUCAGAGAUCAACUCUGAUGCUGACACUGUCAGAUUAUUUUUAUCAAUACACCUUUAGGAUGUAAACCACUGCUGUCACUGCUAAAAGAGUUAAAAAGAAUUUGGAUAUGAGUUCGGAGAUACGCUUGGUAAGCUUUAUAACCUCUUUAUUUUUGUGU
Paramuricea clavata is the source of this 797-nucleotide non-coding RNA. The record is from the annotation of a GenBank genome assembly. Lineage: Eukaryota; Metazoa; Cnidaria; Anthozoa; Malacalcyonacea; Plexauridae.